Molecule: ribosomal RNA, 261 nt
Filed under: uncultured prokaryote
Description: partial 16S ribosomal RNA
Rfam family: Bacterial small subunit ribosomal RNA
Source: RNAcentral
UACGUAGGUGGCAAGCGUUAUCCGGAAUUAUUGGGCGUAAAGAGCGCGCAGGCGGUCCCUUAAGUCUGAUGUGAAAGCCCACGGCUUAACCGUGGAGGGUCAUUGGAAACUGGAGGACUUGAGUACAGAAGAGGAGAGUGGAAUUCCAUGUGUAGCGGUGAAAUGCGUAGAGAUGUGGAGGAACACCAGUGGCGAAGGCGACUCUCUGGUCUGUAACUGACGCUGAGGUGCGAAAGCGUGGGUAGCGAACAGGAUUAGAUA